This 916-nucleotide ribosomal RNA is filed under the name uncultured Actinomycetes bacterium. RNAcentral's name for it is "bacterial SSU rRNA". It matches the Rfam family "Bacterial small subunit ribosomal RNA", at positions 56 to 1008 of the family's 1533-position model. Lineage: Bacteria; Bacillati; Actinomycetota; Actinomycetes. The record is from RNAcentral.
UGCAGUCGAACGGGAAAGUGGGCAACCAUGAGUACAGUGGCGUACGGGUGAGUAACACGUGGAUUAUCUAACUCUUUGUGGGGAAUAACCCUGGGAAACCGGGGCUAAUACCGCAUAAGCUCGAGAGAGGAAAGCAGCAAUGCGCUGAGAGAGGAGUCCGCGGCCGAUUAGCUAGUUGGCAGGGUAAAAGCCUACCAAGGCAAAGAUCGGUAGCCGGCCUGAGAGGGCACACGGCCACACUGGCACUGAAACACGGGCCAGACUCCUACGGGAGGCAGCAGUGGGGAAUCUUGCACAAUGGGGGCAACCCUGAUGCAGCGACGCCGCGUGAGCGAUGAAGCCCUUCGGGGUGUAAAGCUCUUUCGGCAGGGAAGAUGAUGACGGUACCUGCAGAAGCAGCUGCGGCUAACUACGUGCCAGCAGCCGCGGUAAUACGUAGGCAGCGAGCGUUGUUCGGAGUUACUGGGCGUAAAGGGUGUGUAGGCGGCUUUUUAAGUUUGGUGUGAAAUCUCCCGGCUUAACUGGGAGGGUGCGCCGAAUACUGAGAGGCUAGAGUGCGGGAGAGGAGAGUGGAAUUCCUGGUGUAGCGGUGAAAUGCGUAGAUAUCAGGAGGAACACCGGUGGUGUAGACGGCUCUCUGGACCGUAACUGACGCUGAGACACGAAAGCGUGGGUAGCAAACAGGAUUAGAUACCCUGGUAGUCCACGCCCUAAACGAUGCAUAUUUGGUGUGGGUCAUUCAGUUGAUCCGUGCCGGAGCUAACGCGUUAAAUAUGCCGCCUGGGGAGUACAGUCGCAAGGCUGAAACUCAAAGGAAUUGACGGGGGCCCGCACAAGCGGUGGAGCAUGUGGUUCAAUUCGACGCACGCGAAGAACCUUACCUGGGCUCGAACGGCUGGUCAACGGCGGUGGAAAC